This 549-nucleotide ribosomal RNA is filed under the name uncultured Glomus. RNAcentral describes it as "SSU rRNA". It matches the Rfam family "Eukaryotic small subunit ribosomal RNA", at positions 548 to 1098 of the family's 1831-position model. The record is from RNAcentral. Lineage: Eukaryota; Fungi; Glomeromycota; Glomeromycetes; Glomerales; Glomeraceae.
UUGGAGGGCAAGUCUGGUGCCAGCAGCCGCGGUAAUUCCAGCUCCAAUAGCGUAUAUUAAAGUUGUUGCAGUUAAAAAGCUCGUAGUUGAAUUUCGGGAUUAGCAGGUCGGUCGUGCCACUGGUACGUACUGGUCUUGCUGAUUCCUCCCUCUUGACGAGCCGUAAUGCCAUUAACUUGGUGUUGCGGGGAAUCAGGACUGUUACUUUGAAAAAAUUAGAGUGUUUAAAGCAGGCAUGCGCUUGAAUACAUUAGCAUGGAAUAAUGAAAUAGGACGUUCGAUCUUAUUGUGUUGGUUUCUAGGAUUGACGUAAUGAUUAAUAGGGAUAGUUGGGGGCAUUAGUAUUCAAUUGUCAGAGGUGAAAUUCUUGGAUUUAUUGAAGACUAACUACUGCGAAAGCAUUUGCCAAGGAUGUUUUCAUUAAUCAAGAACGAAAGUUAGGGGAUCGAAGACGAUCAGAUACCGUCGUAGUCUUAACCAUAAACUAUGCCGACUAGGGAUCGGAUGAUGUUAAUUUUUUAAUGACUCAUUCGGCGCCUUACGGGAAAC